GAUGAACGCUAGCGGGAGGCCUAACACAUGCAAGCCGAGCGGUAGAGUUUCUUCGGAAACUUGAGAGCGGCGCACGGGUGCGUAACACGUGUGCAACCUACCUUUAUCUGGGGGAUAGCCUUUCGAAAGGAAGAUCAAUACCCCAUAACAUAAUGAUUGGCAUCAAUUAUUAUUGAAAACUCCGGUGGAUAGAGAUGGGCACGCGCAAGAUUAGAUAGUUGGUGAGGUAACGGCUCACCAAGUCAAUGAUCUUUAGGGGUCCUGAGAGGGAGAUCCCCCACACUGGUACUGAGACACGGACCAGACUCCUACGGGAGGCAGCAGUGAGGAAUAUUGGACAAUGGGUGAGAGCCUGAUCCAGCCAUCCCGCGUGAAGGAUGACGGUCCUAUGGAUUGUAAACUUCUUUUGUACAGGGAUAAACCUACCCUCGUGAGGGUAGCUGAAGGUACUGUACGAAUAAGCACCGGCUAACUCCGUG
RNAcentral lists this ribosomal RNA (479 nucleotides) under uncultured bacterium. RNAcentral's name for it is "partial 16S ribosomal RNA". It matches the Rfam family "Bacterial small subunit ribosomal RNA", at positions 28 to 507 of the family's 1533-position model. The record is from RNAcentral.